GACGAACGCUGGCGGCGUGCUUAACACAUGCAAGUCGAACGGAAAGGCCCUGCUUUUGUGUGGUGCUCGAGUGGCGCAGGGGUGAGUAACCCAUGAGUCACCUUCCCUUGACUUUGUGAUAACUUCAGGCGACUGGGGCUAAUACCGGAUAGGAGCUCCUGCUGCAUGGUGGUGGUUGGAAAUCUUCGGCGGUUGGGGAUGGACUCGCGGCUUAUUAGCUUGUUGGUGGGGUAGUUGCUUACCCAGGCUUUGACGGGUAGCCGGCAUGGGAGGGUGAACGGCCACAUGGGGACUGAGAGACGGCCCAGACGCCUACGGGAGGCAGCAGUGGGGAAUAUUGCACAAUGGGCGGAAGCCUGAGGCAGCAACGCCGGGUGCGGGAUGACGGCCUUCGUGCUGUAAACCGCUGUCGCCUGUGACGAAGCGUGAGUGACGGUAAUGGGUAAAGAAGCACCGGCUAACUACGUG
Molecule: ribosomal RNA, 468 nt
Filed under: uncultured bacterium
Lineage: Bacteria
Description: partial 16S ribosomal RNA
Rfam family: Bacterial small subunit ribosomal RNA
Source: RNAcentral